UGAAGGUCGGGGAACCAACACCCCCCAGCGGAAAAAUGGCCAAAAAACGGGUGGGCUUUAGCCUUGGUGGGGGACGUGGGCGAAGUUCGUCCGCCGGACUCGGAAUGGCCCCAGACUUUGCGGGCGGCUUCCGUGUGCCAAAAAUAGGCCACGGGCACAGCCGCGCCCAAAAAUCAGCCCCCGAAGGUCGGGGUGCCAAGACCCCCCAGCGGAAAAAUGGCCAAAAAACGGGUGGGCUAUAGCCUUGGUGGGGGGCGUGGGCGAAGUUCGUCCGCCGGACUCGGAAUGGCCCCAGACUUUGCGGGCGGCCUCCGUGCGCCAAAAAUAGGCCACGGGCACAGCCGCGCCCAAAAAUCAGCCCCUGAAGGUCGGGGUGCCAAGACCCCCCAGCGGAAAAAUGGUCAAAAAAUGGGUGGGUUAUAGCCUUGGGGGGGGGCGUGGGCGAAGUUCGUCCGCCGGACUCGGAAUGGCCCCAGACUUGGCGGGCGGCCUCCGUGCGCCAAAAAUAGGCCACGGGCACAGCCGCGCCCAAAAAUCACCCCCCGAAGGUCGGGUUGCCAGCACCCCCCGGCGGAAAAAUGGCCAAAAAACGGGUGGGUUAUAGCCUUGGGGGGGGGCGUGGGCGAAGUUCGUCCGCCGGACUCGGAAUGGCCCCAGACUUGGCGGGCGGCCUCCGUGUGCCAAAAAUAGGCCACGGGCACAGCCGCGCCCAAAAAUAAGCCCCCGAAGGUCGGGCUGCCAGCAACCCCCCGGAGGAAAAAUGGCCAAAAAACGGGUAAGGCUAUAGCCUUGGUGGGGGGCGUGGGCGAAGUUCGUCCGCCGGACUCGGAAUGGCCCCAUACUUUGCGGGCGGCCUCCGUGUGCCAAAAAUAGGCCACGGGCACAGCCGCGCCCAAAAAUGAGCGCCCGAAGGUCGGGGUACCAACACCCCCCAGCGGAAAAAUGGCCAAAAAACGGGUGGGCUAUGGUCUUCGUGGGGGGCGUGGGCGAAGUUCGUCCGCCGGACUCGGAAUGGCCCAAGACUUUGCGGGCGGACUCCGUGUGCCAAAAAUAGGCCACGGGCACAGCCGCGCCCUAAAAUCAGCCCCCGAAGGUCGGGGAGCCAAGAACCCCCAGCGGAAAAAUGACCAAAAAUCGGGUGGGCUAUAGCCUUGGUGGGGGGCGUGGGCGAAGUUCGUCCGCCGGACUCGGAAUGGCACCAGACUUUGCGGGCGGCCUCCGUGUGCCAAAAAUAGGCCACGGGCACAGCCGCGGUCAAAAAUCAGCCCCCGAAGGUCGGGGCGCCAAGACCCCCCAGCGGAAAAAUGGCCAAAAGACGGGUGGGCUAUAGCCUUGGUGGGGGGCGUGGGCGAAGUUCGUCCGCCGGACUCGGAAUGGCCCCAGACUUUGCGGGCGGCCUCCGUGUGCCAAAAAUAGGCCUCGGGCACAGCCGCGCCGAAAAAUCAGCCCCCGAAGGUCGGGGUGCCAAGACCCCCCAGCGGAAAAAUGGCCAAAAAACGGGUGGGCUAUAGCCUUGGUGGGGGGCGUGGGCGAAGUUCGUCCGCCGGACUCGGAAUGGCCCCAGACUUUGCGGGAGGCCUCCGUGUGCCAAAAAUAGGCCACGGGCACAGCCGCGCCCUAAAAUCAGCCCCCGAAGGUCGGGGUGCCAAGACCCCCCAGCGGAAAAAUGGCCAAAAAAUGGGUGGGCUAUAGCCUUGGUGGGGGACGUGGGCGAAGUUCGUCCGCCAGACUCGGAAUGGCCCCAGACUUUGCGGGCGGCCUCCGUGUGCCAAAAAUAGGCCACGGGCACAGCCGCGCCCAAAAAUCAGN
RNAcentral lists this long non-coding RNA (1809 nucleotides) under Citrus x clementina. RNAcentral describes it as "Citrus clementina (C. clementina) long non-coding RNA (CCLE_LNC003749)". The record is from RNAcentral. Lineage: Eukaryota; Viridiplantae; Streptophyta; Magnoliopsida; Sapindales; Rutaceae.